RNAcentral lists this ribosomal RNA (486 nucleotides) under Coccolithus braarudii. RNAcentral's name for it is "partial Bacterial small subunit ribosomal RNA". It matches the Rfam family "Bacterial small subunit ribosomal RNA", at positions 1 to 508 of the family's 1533-position model. Lineage: Eukaryota; Haptophyta; Coccolithales; Coccolithaceae. The record is from RNAcentral.
AUGGAGAGUUUGAUCCUGGCUCAGGACGAACGCUGGCGGCGUGCUUAACACAUGCAAGUCGAACGAGAGUUUUUAACUCUAGUGGCGAACGGGUGCGUAAUACGUGAGAAUCUGCCCUUAGGAGGGGAAUAACUAUUGGAAACGGUAGCUAAAUCCCCAUAUGCCGAGAGGUGAAAUAGUUUACGCUGCCUAAGGAUGAGCUCACGCCUGAUUAGCUUGUUGGUGAGGUAACGGCUCACCAAGGCCACGAUCAGUAGCUGGUUUGAGAGAACGAUCAGCCACACUGGGACUGAGACACGGCCCAGACUCCUACGGGAGGCAGCAGUGGGGAAUAUUGCACAAUGGGGGAAACCCUGAUGCAGCCAUGCCGCGUGUGUGAAGAAGGCCUUCGGGUUGUAAAGCACUUUCAGUUGUGAGGAAAAGUUAGUAGUUAAUACCUGCUAGCCGUGACGUUAACAACAGAAGAAGCACCGGCUAACUCCGUGC